This is a long non-coding RNA of Acanthopagrus latus (yellowfin seabream), 821 nucleotides long. RefSeq lists it as uncharacterized. The transcript is spliced from 3 exons. NCBI's taxonomy places the organism in Eukaryota, Metazoa, Chordata, Actinopteri, Spariformes, Sparidae. The record is from RefSeq and is a predicted model, not a curated record.
GCAAGUCCAGAGACCAGAGGCUGUAACACUUUCACCAUUAACAUUCCCCCUAGGGGUUUGCUUAUAGCAAUGGCAAAUAUGUGCACAGCUCCAACAGUGCAGUGCUCCAUAAGCAUUAUUUUAUGGACCAAUUUGAACAUCUCAAGAAUUAUUAAUUAUAGUCUUAAUGGAGUUCUCUCUAAUUUGUGUUGCUACACCAUUAAUCAUUAACUAACUCACCAGUUAGUCUCGGCUAAACUGUCCAAGAUCAAAGGAGAAGGCUUAAGGUAAUAUAAGUUUGCUCCAGAUGUGUCCUCCUCAGUCUCUUCACCUUCUCCAUGACGUACCUGACAACUUCCUCCCAUUGGUCCAAAGCUGCAGUGGCUGGCAAUCACUACCCCACGGAUCACUCCUUCUGAUCCAUGGCCAUCUGGAGGCUCUAUCAGCAGCCUUCUUGAUGCCCAGCCUUGUGAAUGCUCUGCAGAGCGGGCAGCCAGCAAAGCCUCCACAUCCCACCUCUCUGGAUACACAUCAAAUUCUCCAUGCCUGCCUCUGACACUGCUCAACCAGCUCCUGAUAUAUGGUUCUGUUUAGGGCAGUCUAGCCAGAAUGCAGCAGGCUGAAACCUGACCUACUUUGAGUUAGCUCACAAUAGGAGAAGAUAAGGCAGGCCUGGUGUCUUGGAACUUAGCUGCCUGUCCACAUUCACAAGCAGCUGCCUGCCAGCCUCUACAGUGGGGAGGCUGACUGUAGUUUGGGUUGCUUGAGAGACCAAUCCAUUCAUGUCACCAGAUGUUAUACCGUGCUCAGCGUAAAUGAGUACACCCCCUUUGAAAAGUACC